Molecule: long non-coding RNA, 339 nt
Filed under: Struthio camelus australis
Lineage: Eukaryota; Metazoa; Chordata; Aves; Struthioniformes; Struthionidae
Description: lncRNA (ENSSCUG00000016812.1)
Source: RNAcentral
AAGCAGAAUUCGUUACUGCCUGCGUACGAAUGCUUGAGUAUCUAUGGGAGGAGAAAAGCUCACCUGCUUAUGCCAUCUGGUACUAUGUUUGAUAUGGAGUUGAGAAGCAUGAUUGGUGUGAAGGUUUCCGAGCUUGCAGAAGCACCAUCUCGGACUAUGGUGCAUGGCUGUGAUGUGACAAAUUUCUGCACAUCCCGUUCUCGUGACCCAAGCCAAGCUGUGCUGAUAAUGGCUCAGGAGAGAUUUGGAGGCUGCAUUAAACUAACAUAGCCCUGGCCAGAUGUACCUUUCCAGGUAAACACCAUACUGAGCAUAUAAAGCAAAUGAUCCCUGGAAAUG